GUGCCAGCAGCCGCGGUAAUACGGAGGGUGCGAGCGUUGUCCGGAAUCAUUGGGCGUAAAGGGCGCGUAGGUGGCCCGGUCAGUUCGUGGUGAAAGCGCGGGGCUCAACCCUGCGUCGGCCAUGAAUACUGCCGCGGCUGGAGCACUGUAGAGGCAGGCGGAAUUCCGGGUGUAGCGGUGGAAUGCGUAGAGAUCCGGAAGAACACCGGUGGCGAAGGCGGCCUGCUGGGCAGUUGCUGACACUGAGGCGCGACAGCGUGGGGAGCAAACAGGAUUAGAUACCCUGGUAGUCC
Molecule: ribosomal RNA, 293 nt
Filed under: uncultured bacterium
Lineage: Bacteria
Description: partial 16S ribosomal RNA
Rfam family: Bacterial small subunit ribosomal RNA
Source: RNAcentral